RNAcentral lists this ribosomal RNA (398 nucleotides) under uncultured bacterium. RNAcentral describes it as "partial 16S ribosomal RNA". It matches the Rfam family "Bacterial small subunit ribosomal RNA", at positions 523 to 918 of the family's 1533-position model. The record is from RNAcentral.
AUACGUAGGGUGCGAGCGUUGUCCGGAAUUACUGGGCGUAAAGAGCUCGUAGGUGGUUUGUCGCGUCGUCUGUGAAAUUCCGGGGCUUAACUCCGGGCGUGCAGGCGAUACGGGCAUAACUUGAGUACUGUAGGGGAGACUGGAAUUCCUGGUGUAGCGGUGAAAUGCGCAGAUAUCAGGAGGAACACCGGUGGCGAAGGCGGGUCUCUGGGCAGUAACUGACGCUGAGGAGCGAAAGCAUGGGUAGCGAACAGGAUUAGAUACCCUGGUAGUCCAUGCCGUAAACGGUGGGCGCUAGGUGUAGGGGUCUUCCACGACUUCUGUGCCGUAGCUAACGCAUUAAGCGCCCCGCCUGGGGAGUACGGCCGCAAGGCUAGAACUCAAAUGAAUUGACGGGG